This 263-nucleotide ribosomal RNA is filed under the name uncultured bacterium. Its description in RNAcentral is "partial 16S ribosomal RNA". It matches the Rfam family "Bacterial small subunit ribosomal RNA", at positions 793 to 1055 of the family's 1533-position model. The record is from RNAcentral.
GUCCUUGCCGUAAACGAUGUAUACUUGAUGUAGUUAGGCUCAACCAUGACUGUGUCGAAGCUAACGCGAUAAGUAUACCGCCUGAGGAGUACGCUCGCAAGGUGAAACUCAAAAGAAUUGACGGGGGCCCCGCACAAGCAGUGGAGCAUGUGGUUUAAUUCGAUGCAACGCGAAGAACCUUACCCAGGCUCGAAAUGCAAAGGCAAUCAACAGAGAUGUUGAGUUUCGCAAGAACUUUUGUAUAGGUGCUGCAUGGCUGUCGU